Molecule: non-coding RNA, 1533 nt
Organism: Phasianus colchicus (ring-necked pheasant)
Lineage: Eukaryota; Metazoa; Chordata; Aves; Galliformes; Phasianidae
Source: RefSeq, a predicted model, not a curated record
AAGGAGGAAAGUAAAAAGGUGGUCAAGAAAACUUUACAAGAUGAAACUUUACAAGAGUUUGCUUUUUCAGUAAAUAACUUCAAACUAUGAAAAUCUCUAUAAAAGCCUUUUCUUCAUCUCAAAAUGUGUUGACAUGAAGUGAGAUGGAUGGCUGCUGUUGCAUUGAGUUGUAUGCCCCAGAGAAGGAGACUCCAGGCAAGGACAUGAGUCCAGUCCAGCCACCACCUCCACCCCACAAAAUGGCCUCCUGUUGAUGGGUGUAUGGGUGGGCAUGAAGCACUUUUCUCUUUACCCAGACGUGCCCUGAAAGGGAUGCCCUGAAAUACCCUGAUUUUAUUUAUGAUGAAAAACUGUUAAAAGAAAAGGAAAACAUGACUCAGUUCUCGGUUAUUUUUGUCACUACGUUAAGGCGGUGUUGUUAGCAGUAUCCCAAACACUGCAGCUGGCAGCACGCUGUGCUGAGCUGGACUGCCUUAGACAGAAGAAAAUAGGGCUGUUUUCAAUCACUGCUGAAUUUCUGUGCAAAAUCACCCCUUCUCAUUGUGUUAAACCCUGUCUUAACCCUCCUGGCUCAUGCAAAGGGCAAUUACUCUGCUCACAUAUCAUUGCAGCCUACUGCUUGGGUGAUUUCUGUGGGGCUGUGUCAGAUGCUGGAGUCUUGCAAGGUGACCUCUGCUGGGAGAACACCUCUUGCCGUGCACAGCCUCAGGGAGAGGUGAGGUUUUGCAAACUGGGAAGGGAAGGUGAGGAGCUGGCAAUUGGUGAUUGGCAGUUGGCCGUUAGCAACUGGCCUCUGGUAACGGGCCACAGAACAUUCUAGUGCAGCUGAGGGUAGUGGGCACAGGAAGCAGCUGAGUGAGGGGAGGCCUGGGGCACAGCCCGGCUCCUGAGAUGGCCGCUGCGGGGCAGCCUGGAUUCCACAUAGAACUGGUGGAUGUUGCAGCAGAAAUGGAAACUCUGUAUAUCAGCCUGCAGAGUUGGUCAUUUGAGAAUGAUGAAAACAGAAGAUGUUGAAGUCAUUUUAAUUCAUAUCUGGCAGUAAGCUGGGAAGAACAGCAGGGCAGUCACACACCGAACAAGUGAACCCAGAAAGGAAGUCAGCAUUAAAAACUAGACUGUGGAUAGUAAACCACAAUUACAAGGAGGUGAUACUGGUAAGAAAGAGGAGCUGUAAGUACUGAAACCUGAUGGAGCGCUGAACAGUUAAUGGAUCAUGUUAGGAAAGCUGUAUGAAGCAGUGUUGCUGAAUCACUCAUGUUGCUGGUGACUGUCCUUGUGGAAGAUUCUGCCUCACUGUCAGAUCAGAUACUGAGUUGUAAAUCACGUUUUCCUUCUGCACAUAAGUAGUAUACGGUUCCACCUCCACUGUGUCAUCCUAGUAAAACAAAACCAAUAAUUGUGAAUACAGGAAGUAGUUUAUUUUGACAAGUCUCUGCAAGCUUUUCAUCUGGAACGAAGAAAUUAACUGAGAAAUAACUCUCCCAUUCUAAUUCCUCCUUUGACUCCAAAAAAAAAAAAAAAAAAAAAAAAAAA